GAUGAACGCUGGCGGCGUGCCUAAUACAUGCAAGUCGAGCGAACAGACGAGGAGCUUGCUCCUCUGACGUUAGCGGCGGACGGGUGAGUAACACGUGGAUAACCUACCUAUAAGACUGGGAUAACUUCGGGAAACCGGAGCUAAUACCGGAUAAUAUAUUGAACUGCAUGGUUCAAUAGUGAAAGACGGUUUUGCUGUCACUUAUAGAUGGAUCCGCGCCGCAUUAGCUAGUUGGUAAGGUAACGGCUUACCAAGGCAACGAUGCGUAGCCGACCUGAGAGGGUGAUCGGCCACACUGGAACUGAGACACGGUCCAGACUCCUACGGGAGGCAGCAGUAGGGAAUCUUCCGCAAUGGGCGAAAGCCUGACGGAGCAACGCCGCGUGAGUGAUGAAGGUCUUCGGAUCGUAAAACUCUGUUAUUAGGGAAGAACAAAUGUGUAAGUAACUAUGCACGUCUUGACGGUACCUAAUCAGAAAGCCACGGCUAACUACGU
Molecule: ribosomal RNA, 496 nt
Filed under: uncultured bacterium
Lineage: Bacteria
Description: partial 16S ribosomal RNA
Rfam family: Bacterial small subunit ribosomal RNA
Source: RNAcentral